Molecule: ribosomal RNA, 395 nt
Filed under: uncultured bacterium
Lineage: Bacteria
Description: partial 16S ribosomal RNA
Rfam family: Bacterial small subunit ribosomal RNA
Source: RNAcentral
CCUACGGGUGGCAGCAGUGAGGAAUAUUGGUCAAUGGACGCAAGUCUGAACCAGCCAUGUCGCGUGCAGGAAGACGGCCCUAUGAGUUGUAAACUGCUUUUGUACGAGGGUAAACGCAGAUACGCGUAUCUGUUUGAAAGUAUCGUAUGAAUAAGGAUCGGCUAAUUCCGUGCCAGCAGCCGCGGUAAUACGGAGGAUUCAAGCGUUAUCCGGAUUUAUUGGGUUUAAAGGGUGCGUAGGCGGUCGGAUAAGUUAGAGGUGAAAUCCCGGGGCUCAACUUCGGAAUUGCCUCGGAUACUGUUCGGCUAGAGAGUGCUGACGGUAGGCGGAAUGUAUGGUGUAGCGGUGAAAUGCUUAGAGAUCAUACAGAACACCGAUUGCGAAGGCAGCUUACC